UACGAAGGGUGCAAGCGUUAAUCGGAAUUACUGGGCGUAAAGCGCGCGUAGGCGGUCUGGUAAGCGGGAUGUGAAAUCCCCGGGCUCAACCUGGGAACUGCAUCCCGAACUGCCUGACUAGAGUACGGUAGAGGUGAGUGGAAUUUCCUGUGUAGCGGUGAAAUGCGUAGAUAUAGGAAGGAACAUCAGUGGCGAAGGCGACUCACUGGAUCGAUACUGACGCUGAGGUGCGAAAGCGUGGGUAGCAAACAGG
This 253-nucleotide ribosomal RNA is filed under the name uncultured bacterium. RNAcentral describes it as "partial 16S ribosomal RNA". It matches the Rfam family "Bacterial small subunit ribosomal RNA", at positions 524 to 776 of the family's 1533-position model. The record is from RNAcentral.